Molecule: long non-coding RNA, 972 nt
Organism: Raphanus sativus (radish)
Lineage: Eukaryota; Viridiplantae; Streptophyta; Magnoliopsida; Brassicales; Brassicaceae
Exons: 2
Source: RefSeq, a predicted model, not a curated record
UCAUUUUUAUUAAACCCCAUUAGUACCGCAAUUCUCUUAGCACUAUCUUCUCUCUUCCCAAUGUUCUAAUCUCUGAACCGUUGUCUAUCUCUUCUUCGUCCAAACAUCAAUUAAUUUAAAAUCUAUAAAUCGUCAUCUAACUCCCUGUGUAUAUUCACAUCUUACACUACUCACCAAAAAUGAUCCUGAACCGAUCUUACCUAGGAUCGUAAAUCCCAAGUUUGUCUAUGAAAUAUUAUUUUUACUCUGGUUCCAUCAACACCAUAAUCCUAACCUCAUCAUCUCUCACAAAUAUCACCACUUUCAUUCUGAAUCACCAAAUCACGAUCCACCUUCAAUUUCCAAUUUUAAUAGCAAUUCUGCGUUGUGGUCUUGUUUCAACCUGGUGGGGUGACUUCUCGGCCUUGACGAAUUUGUCAACAUCACUCAGAUGGUGGUUGAAUAAGAGACACAAAGAUGAGAUUAAAAGGAGUUCGUUUGAGGAUUAAAGCCGAAAAUGGAGUUGGCAGACAAAAAUGGAGUUGGUAGCAAAUGAAAGAUUUAGAAAUGAGAUCCGUGGAGAAAGAUUUUUUUGUUUAUUGAUUAAUCUUGGGGUAUUUCGGGUUUAUGAAAAGGCCCAGACUAAUCUUUAAGAGUAGGAGAAUCCCAUGGAUAGACAUUUUUUCCGGAUAUGCAAAUGAGCCCGAAAACAUGGCCGCGUAGGUGUCUAGGAGCAAUGAGACUUAGUUUCACACAGCUGGUGGAUCAUACCUGAAACGUGUUAGCGUCUUCAAAACGUUCUCUUUUCAUUCGACCACAUUGUCCCAGACUUGGUGGAGAAGGAGUUGACGAGUUUCUAUCGACAUUGACGAAGAAUGAAAAAAUAUCAUCGUCACAAUGAAGGUUUGGUGGAAAUGAAAACAAUAGGCAUGAGGGAGAUGUGAGGGCUGAAUUUCUGUGACUGAAAUAAAAACUAAGCAAUUUGCUGUAAUA